AUUGAACGCUGGCGGCAGGCUUAACACAUGCAAGUCGAGCGAGCGGCGGACGGGUGAGUAAUGUCUGGGAAACUGCCUGAUGGAGGGGGAUAACUACUGGAAACGGUAGCUAAUACCGCAUACCAUCAGAUGUGCCCAGACGGGAUUAGCUAGUAGGUGGGGUAAUGGCUCACCUAGGCGACGAUCCCUAGCUGGUCUGAGAGGAUGACAAGCCAAACGGGAACUGAGACAGGGUCCAGACUCCUACGGUAGGCAGCAGUGGGGAAUAGUGAACAAUGGGCGCAAGCCUGAUGCAGCAAUGCGGCGUGUGUGAAGAAGGCCGGCGGGUUGUAAAGUACUUUCAGUCGGGAGGCGUUACCGGCAGAAGAAGCACCGGAUAACUCCGUGCCAGCAGCCGCGGUAAUUC
This 406-nucleotide ribosomal RNA is filed under the name uncultured bacterium. RNAcentral describes it as "partial 16S ribosomal RNA". It matches the Rfam family "Bacterial small subunit ribosomal RNA", at positions 29 to 526 of the family's 1533-position model. The record is from RNAcentral.